GACGUAGGUGGCGAACGAUAUCCGGAAGUAUUGGGCGUAAAGGGAGCGCAGAUGGUCUGACAAGUUACCGGUGGUAAAUCGAGGCUCAACCUCGUGGAAACUGGUAAUACUGUCAGGCUCGAGUGCAGGAGAGGUUAACGGAACUCCCGGUGGAGCGGUAAAAUGCGUAGAUAUCAGGAGGAACACCUGCGGUGUAGACGGCUUACUGGACCAUAACUGACGCUGAGGCACGAAAGCGUGGGUAGCAAACAGG
Molecule: ribosomal RNA, 253 nt
Filed under: uncultured bacterium
Lineage: Bacteria
Description: partial 16S ribosomal RNA
Rfam family: Bacterial small subunit ribosomal RNA
Source: RNAcentral